CUCUGGAUGGCGUUGAGGCAACAUCAGUGUAGCAACCUGGGGUGCGCAAGGCGGUCGCUAUAGCCGCAAGAUGGUGGAUGGCAAGUAUAACUCUCAAAGCUCUCAAACGUGAGUCUUGCGUUCCGCGGGCCUCCCCUCAGCUGGAGGGAGCGGGUCACUGGCUCCACUAGCGGUUCAGACGGUCUCCCAGGGGCGCAGCGGCCCCUGCGCGGAUCAGCUCCCUGUGGCCCUUCCUCGCGGGGGCAGGAGCCGGGCGGGAAUGCUUUUGCAGCACCCCCCCGCGGAUCCCAGGUUUUAAUAUCGAUAUCAUGCUGAUGUCACAUACCCUGGAAAAGUUUGGAUAAAAUUGGAAUUAUCUGUUCCUUGAAUGUUUGAAACAUUCACCUGUGAAACCAUCUGAAUUUGUACAUGAUUGGCGAGCUACAGCUUGCUGAUGUGCCCUUCGUUGGAGUUACCAGCAGAUGGCACCCACAAGCCACCUACUGCCCUCAGUCCAGUUCUUCCCAACUUUGUCUAUGUGGGCAUGGAUUAACCACAGUUUGGCUAUCCAUUCAACUAGUGGAGGACAUCUUGGUUUCUUCUAGUUUCUAGUCAUUAUAACUAAAACUUGCUAUCCACAUACAAGAAAGGAAGUUUGCCUGGGGACAGACCUCACCAAAAACUGCUUUUGAUGAGAUUUGGACUAAGAGUUGUUACUGAAAUGACUUGAGGAUUUGGGAUAUGGGGAGGAAUAAAUGUGUUUUACAUGUGGGAAGAACUAGCCUCUCUUGUUCCCAAGGAAGAAUUGUAGUAGGUUGAAUUAUGUACCCAAUUUAGACAUGUGCUUAAUCUUAAUUUGCAUUCCAGUAGGUAUAAAACCUUUUGUAAAAUAACUCAAAAUAACUCAAAUACAUUAUUUUCAUUUAAGAUGUGGGCCAAAUGGAUGAGGGCGGAUCCUUUUUUUAAAAUUCUCUCCUCCUUUAAUACUUCUGAAAUUGUCCCCAUACAACAGCAUUGUUUUUUGUCCGAUAACCUAUAUCAAUAGAUCCCCUUCUACCAUGUGACAUUUUUUUCCCCAGAAACUUCUGUACUCAUUGCUUCUUUGUGUAGAAGCUUUUGGGAAGUCAGUCAUUUUCACUCUAUUCUCAUAGUGCUGUCAGGUGGGUUCUAAAGUCCUAUUCUUUUUAAAUGGGAUAAAUAGGGUGUUUUGGGUUUGUUUGUUGUAUUGCUUUUUUUAAUUCAGUUUUAUUGUGACAUAUUCACAUACAAUACAAUCAUCCAUGGUGUACAAUCAACUGUUAACAGUACCAUCUUAUAGUUGUGCUUUCAUCACCUCAAGCUAUUUUUGAACAUUUUCCUAUCACCAGAAAGAAUCAGAAUCAGAACAAGAAAUAUUGUAAUGAGAAAACAUGGUGAAGCAUGUACCUGCUUUUAAGGCUUUUUCCCAGAAAUGAAGCAAGUCCAAGUUGCUCACGUUUACAUGGGUAUACCUAACUACAAGUGCAAGGGAAUUGUAUUACUACUUUCUACUUAGAACAAUACAGCCAGAAUACAUAUUCACCCUCCUGAUGGCAAAUUCAGAAGAAAUUAUCUACCCUGCCCAAUUGCAAAGAAAUCCAGGAAAAAAUCAUUAAGAAUCUCAGACAAUGCACUUUUACAAAACUGAAAAAAGGGUUAAUGGAAAUGUUUAGAGACUGGGAAUUGCUUUUAAUUACAAACAUAUUAAGGAAAAGUAAUUCCUGGAAAUAUUCCAGGAAGAAAUUGGGUCACUCUUGAAGCUAUUAAAUGUUGAAUGAUGUGAGAGAAAAAUGAAGAAGUCCUCUCAUUCUCAAUGUCCCAGCUGUCUCAUAUGGAAAAAAAUUGGUUGUUAGAAAAGAAAUAAUAAUGAGGGGCAAAAUAGUAUUUUUAUAAUAUUAAUCACUCUAACUGUUGGGAAUUAGUUUAGCUUUUUUUGCAAGGGAUGGCAAAUGAGAGCUGUGUUCUUGAAGUAUAUGAUUAUUUUGAGAGAUAGUAAGGUCCCCCACCCUUCAAAAAAUCAAUAUGCAGAUACUCAAAAGCUCUUUUGUCAUUAUAUUAGGCAACAUGAACAAUCUAAAGCAAUCUUCAUUGUCAGUGAUGAAAAUGCAAGAAAAAACUUCAUUUACAUGAUGACUUGUAAAAUAUGAAUGUAUGCACCUAAUAUAAGCACUUUGAAAAUUAUAAAUGUCUUUAUCAAGAUAGUCUUUUGUUCCCAAUUAUUUUGAAUCAAAAUAUUCUCAAACUCACUGAGAGUAUACUGGACUGAAAUCAAUUGAUAGGGGACAUAGGGAGAAUUCUGAAGUCUUUGUGGCAUCUUUAGAAGAUUACAAAUUUCAGUAGAGGAAAGAAAUUACAUAUCUUCAGUUUGAAUCUGGAUUUAUACUAUAGGUUCUUAUUUGAAAAAGAUAUGUAGUGCAUAGUAAUAGACAAUCUUUUCUUUAUUCCUUCCUUUUAUAAAAGUAUCUAUUAAUAUAUCUAUAUCUAAUAUAUACAUAUACAUUUACUUGGGAUAGUAAUGUGCUAUAAAGGCUUCUUAUGUUAAUAAAAUGUUGCUUAAUCUGUCAAAAAAUGUUGAAAGUAAAGCUUAUUUUAUUAAGAUGUUCAGUAAUUGAUAUGGAGUACAUAUGAGGAAAUAGAAUAAUAAAGUUGGAAUAAGAAUGAAAGGUUAUCAUAUAGACUGACAGUAAGGAAUCAAAAACAAUAAAAAUUAUACAUGAGAAAAAAUUAAAGCCUGUGGAAAGGUGAUGAUGAAAGCUCAAUGGGGGAGGAAUGUUGAACUCUGUCAUAAUAAGCCUCAUACACAAAAAUUUACAUAUUUAUGUAUAUAAAUUUACUUUUUUGUAUGCAAGCAGAUGAUAGCUAGCUAGAUAAUAUGUAUGUGUGCCAAUGCAUUUGUGGACUUACAUUUCUAAUUGCUUUCAUUUAACUAAUUAUACUUAUAAGGUUUCCAAACACAUAAAAUGGCAUAUAUAUACACCUUUGCGAGUCAGUAUUCCUUGACAGCCAAAACAUUCAGCCAACAGUGAGUCUAUUAAUUAUUCUAUAGGCUGCCCACAUAUUUAGUUUCCAUAUAGGUAGAAUAUGUAAACUUCAGAAAACUUUUUAUGUCCUAGAUCAAGUAAAAGGAAAAGAGAUGAGGGAAUUUUUGCCAUUUGUUCUUAUCAGAGAAAUGGGGUCACAUUUAAAAUGCAGGUAAAAUAAGUUGAUUGCUUUUUAAACUGUGAUUUUCUCCAUUGUAAUAAGAAAUGGCAACAGACAAGUACAAGAAAAUUUAAAAAUUAAAUAGCCGGAAAAUAUUUCCAAGGGCUGAUACUUUGAAAAUUAAUUGAGGGGGAUUAAGGAGAGGUGAGAAAUAGAAGAAAAUGAAGUGGUCAAUGGAGAAUCAGUAUAAAGGUAAACUGUAUCCUAUGUCUACAUGUGGCAAUAGGCCCUGGUAGUCCAGGAAAGUAGCAAAUAUUUUAUGCCUAUCUUGAGAAGCCAAAGCAGCAUGAACUGUGCAGAUAAGUUGAAGAAUGCAGGGAAAUUUUGAAAGCAUUAUAGAAAGAUUUGCACUAAUAUUGUGUAACCAAGUAAUCAAGGUUUAAUGGAAUCCUUAAUUCUCUGGAAACUGGAUUUUGUCAAAUGUCUACUUCCCCAAUGUUCCUGAAGAGUAGACAGCUAUGUUUCAAAGAUAUGGAGGACAGUAUAAAAUAAUAAUAGAGCCAGUUUUUCAGGAAAGUUUAAAAUUCCUAAACAAAGCUUCAAAAUACAUGAAAAAUUGAGGGAGUUCAAAGGAGGAAUGGAAUUAAAAAGAAAACACUGAACAAAUAUCAGGGAUAGGGUUCUAAUUUUUGAAAUGUAGGAUAAGUAAGUCUUGUUUCCUUUCUGAUUCUUACUCCUGAUCUUCUAUGAGAAUUAUUUUGCUAUUAGAGAUUUUAUAUUGUAAUCCAAACAAUAACAGUUUAUCAAAAUGUUUAGUCAUAGAAGUUUUGUGAGUUAUUCUUUCUUUGACUAUUACUUGUAUUAUAUGAAAGUACAUUUGAUGACUAUAAAAUUUGGUUUUAAUGCUUGAAGAAAACUCCCAGAUAGUGAUUUUGAAAGGAGCAAGCAGACUCUGUUGAAGUGGCAUUGACAUAGAACAUCUUAACUGCCAAGGUUACCUGUGAAAUAAAUUAAUGCUGGAUUUUAAUCUCCAAGUAAGCUUUCCUCAGUAGCACUGAAUUUUUGAUGAGUUGAGAAAUGUAUAUUAAAGACUUCAUCAAAUAUGUAUUAUUUUGUAAUUCCAUGAUCCAUACCAUUAAAUUUUCUCCUGAAAUUCUGCAGUAUAAACAGCAAUUCUUGCGUGAGUUUCUUCAAAAUCUAUGUGAAAAUUGUUUUCACUAUCAUUACUUAAUGAUAGAGUUACAGGAAUGUAUUUAACCUGUUGUAUAUAGAGGAAGUAAAAUUAUUAUAAAAGCUUUACUCAUCUCAGAAACGAUGUUUAGUUUCUUCUCUCAUUUUAAUAUAAUAAAAGACAAUACAUUAAAAUAAUAAAACAAAUUGCACAAACUUUAUGUUGGCUAAAUACAAUGUUAUAUCUGCUGUGUUGAUGAAUUAGUUUACACUCUCAAACCUGAAUAGAGAAACACCACCAUGUUUUCCUUGUGAUACCUCAAAAAGCCCAUUCACCCACUGGAGAACACUCCUAGAAAGAAGUUAGGUGUCCUUCACCAUUCAGUGCAAAAUACAUGAAACUGUGGAUUUUACAAAAGUCUAUUUUAAUAAGGUUUAUUAUAAAUAUUUAAUAAAUGAUAUUCUGAAAAUCCAGUGUGAUGAAAUUAUAUUAACAUGUAAUACACAUAUAUAUAUGUAUAUAUACACACAUAUAUAUAAGCUUUAUAUGCACAAAUGAAAAGCUUGGAAGAAAAUACAUCUGAAGAAUAACGUUUAUAAGGGAGUUUCAUUUUCUUUGAAUUUUGUGGUAUAAUUUUGUGUAUAGAACUAUGUUCAAUUCUAUGUUUGGGUCACACCUUUAAAGAAAUAUUUCAUUGAGAAAAAUAUGCUAUCCUAUCCCUGGUGACAAUGGUCUAGCUUUUCAGCUACAGGUUAAUUAAGAAUAUCUCUAAAAAUAACUUCUCUUCAGUCAUAAAUUAGAGCAGCAGAAAGAAUGCCAAAAUAUAAUGCUCAAAAUUAUGUGGCUUCCAUGAAGAAGGCAACUCUCCUUUACAAACCUAACAGUUAUGCACUAAUCCUUCAACUUUUAUCCUUGGAAUGAUGCCAAGAAAUCUGCUUUGGAAAUUGGUCCCUUAGAUGAGCAAAUGUGAAAUUAUGAGCCAUAUUCAAUAUAAGAGCUGUCAUGGCAUUAUUAGGGAGAAAGGCAAGGGAUAUUCUGCUAUAUGUUCACAAUAUUUCCCUGAUAUACUUGUGACACAAAAUUUCCAGGUAAACUUUCUAUUUGACCAGGACCUGAAAAAAAUUUAGGUUGGUUUAUUUUGUCCCCAAAAAUACAUGUACAAAAAAAUAUGCAUAAUUCAUCUGAAAGGAAACAUUAUAUUGAAGAAAUUUCAGGCUUCUUACAUGGUUUAUAUAUUUUGUUUGUUAGAAAAAUUUGAGUUUGACAAAUCUCUUGACAGCUAAUGCUGGAAGAAGUUUUCAACCUAUUUUGACUACUGCUAAGUAUUAAUCUCAAAGUGAAAGUGUUUUAGUUUAUCUCAAAAAAAUGAGAAUAUUAUUAGAAGAGUGCAUAUAUAUACAUAUAUCAUGUGGGCCUUCCCUAGGUACUGAGAGCAUUUGUAGAAAUGGAAAUAUGGAACUGAUGUAAUCAGAUCAUCAAAUAAGGAACAUAUAUUGAAAAUAUAAUUUUUGGAAGAAUUGUGAUUAUCAAAUCUGUUUAAAAAUAUAUCCUCUGAAAAUUAAUAGAAAUCUCUGCCCUAAAAUGUUAAUACACUUAAGGUUUAAUUUCUGAUCUGUCAUUUGUAUUAAAUAAUAUAGGGUGUAAAAGAAUAGUGAAUGAUGCAUUAACAUGCUCUAUCAUCAUUUAUUAUAUAACUAGAUUUUUUCUGAAAUUAAAUGUAAGUAGGAAUUUAGCAUUAUUAGGAUGAUCUAUGCAGCCAACCAAUCUUGGUAGAAUCACAGAGCCACCAAUAUUUAAUGGUUGUGAUUCUGUAUAAAUACUUAACUUUUUGUGCCCUUUUUAUCAUCUAACAAAUGUGUAAUGCUAAUAAAUAUGUUAUAUUUUCAUCUGGAAAUAUAGAUGAAAUACUGUAAUUUCAGUAAUUGAAGGGAAGUAUUUAUAUCAGUGUUAUGUUCAUUCUAAUAAUGCACUACAUAUGGGUUUCUACUAUAUAAUAUCCCAAUGAUGAUUUAUACCUCAUUUAUAUUUGGCAGUCCAACUAAGAUCUUUUUCAGUCAUAUUUUGCA
Molecule: RNA transcript, 6375 nt
Organism: Choloepus didactylus (southern two-toed sloth)
Lineage: Eukaryota; Metazoa; Chordata; Mammalia; Pilosa; Megalonychidae
Gene name: putative zinc finger protein 705G
Exons: 5
Source: RefSeq, a predicted model, not a curated record